CGCCCACUCACAGUCCAAGCUCCGCUCCUGGUGCACCAGGCGCACGAGGCCGUGGAACUGCAACAGGCUCGAAGGGUGCUUUGGGAUGGAGGGUAAGAGAGUUGCUGGGCCCAUCCCGCAGACCCUGGAUGAGCAACAGAUGAAAGGAGUACUCAGACACAUAUGAGGACACAGAAGAACAGAACAGUAAACUGAGCUGCUCAAAGACACCCAGCUGGGAAAAGACAGAGCUGAGACUCAAACCCAG
Long non-coding RNA from Cebus imitator (Panamanian white-faced capuchin), 247 nucleotides. RefSeq lists it as uncharacterized. The transcript is spliced from 3 exons. The record is from RefSeq and is a predicted model, not a curated record. NCBI's taxonomy places the organism in Eukaryota, Metazoa, Chordata, Mammalia, Primates, Cebidae.